This 468-nucleotide ribosomal RNA is filed under the name uncultured bacterium. Its description in RNAcentral is "partial 16S ribosomal RNA". It matches the Rfam family "Bacterial small subunit ribosomal RNA", at positions 28 to 507 of the family's 1533-position model. The record is from RNAcentral.
GACGAACGCUGGCGGCGUGCUUAACACAUGCAAGUCGAACGGAAAGGCCCUGCUUUUGUGGGGUGCUCGAGUGGCGAACGGGUGAGUAACACGUGAGUAACCUGCCCUUGACUUUGGGAUAACUUCAGGAAACUGGGGCUAAUACCGGAUAGGAGCUCCUGCUGCAUGGUGGGGGUUGGAAAGUUUCGGCGGUUGGGGAUGGACUCGCGGCUUAUCAGCUUGUUGGUGGGGUAGUGGCUUACCAAGGCUUUGACGGGUAGCCGGCCUUAGAGGGUGACCGGCCACAUUGGGACUGAGGUACGGCCCAGACUCCUACGGGAGGCAGCAGUGGGGAAUAUUGCACAAUGGGCGGAAGCCUGAUGCAGCAACGCCGCGUGCGGGAUGACGGCCUUCGGGUUGUAAACCGCUUUCGCCUGUGACGAAGCGUGAGUGACGGUAAUGGGUAAAGAAGCACCGGCUAACUACGUG